Long non-coding RNA from Homo sapiens (human), 4039 nucleotides. Ensembl annotates it as long intergenic non-protein coding RNA 174. NCBI's taxonomy places the organism in Eukaryota, Metazoa, Chordata, Mammalia, Primates, Hominidae. The record is from Ensembl.
AUGUUGGCCAGGCUGGUCUGGAACUCCUGACUUGAAGUAAUCUGCCCACCUCGGCUUCCCAAAGUGCUGGGAUUACAGGCGUGAGCCACUGCGCCUGGCCCCUUCAGGUGGGUAUUGAGGCUUCACUACAAUACUAGUUCCCCGUUGCUGCCGCAAUAAAUUACCACACACUUAGUGGCUUAAAACAGCAUAGAGGUAUUCCUUUACAUUUCUGAAGGCCAGAAUUCUAAAGUCAGUCCCACUGAGUCAAGGUGGGAGCAGGGUCAGUGCCUUUCCAGGCUCUGCGGGAGAAUCCGUUUCCUGGCCCUGGAGGCGGCCUGUACUCCUCAGCUUGUGCUGCCCUUCUCGAAUGACUCGCGUUUCCUGCUUUCAUCACUACACCUCCCACCGCUCUCCAUCACCUGCUCUGCUCUUAUAAGGAUCCAGAGAAAUGGAAUAAUCUUAUUGCUGAUCUAUGUAAACAAGUUGAAGAAUUGUCUGAAAGAAAAUACAGUGUGUCUAAACUGGAAAAGUCCUGUAAUAGUUUGUUCAUGAGCAUUUACACAGUGGAGUUACUGUUCAUCAUGGGGGUACUGUGGACAAGCCCAGGGCUGCUGACAUGAAGUUAUGAAUUUAAGAUGUGAAGAUUUACAGCUUGAUAAACCAGCUUCAGGAGACAUGAUCUUAUGAAUUCAACACAUGAAGAUUUACAACUUGAUAAACCAGCUUCAGGAGAUCAGAACUUCUUAUAAUACAACUGACGUUACUCAGCCUAGAACAAAUACAACAGGGAUUGUGCUGCAUUCUGACUUGGAUUCUGCCAUCGAACACAGAAUGCCCUGAUCCUUAGAUGCAGAGGCAGCUCUUCAGCCUAUGGGGGCUGCUGUAAAAUAUUACAGGCAUACUUUGGAGAUGUUACGGGUUUGGUUCCACAUCACUGCAAUAAAGCCUUCCAGAUAUACAGUCAUAUUUCUUAUAUUACACGAAAACUGUGGAUUUAGUUACUCCACUCUGCCAUGUCUUUCCACCACUGCCUGCACAUUUGAGACCAAGGAUAGAGAUUGGGAAAAAUUGAUAGUUCUCCUGCCUCAGAGUUUGGCUCCUGCACUCUCAUUUCAGCCAUAGCUGCAGACAAAGCACACGAUUGCUGGGCACUGUGGCUCAAGAGAAGGAGGAGAUGACUCCAGCGGGAGGAAGAAGAGGCCUUUGCCAGCAGUCAGAGCAGCCAAGGGGCCCAAUCCCUCACAUUCUCCAAGUUUGAAGGAAAGAAAACCAACGAGAAGACCCGCAAGAUUACCACAGUGAAGAAAUCUUCAGUACGUCUUCCAGGGUCGGAUCAAAGAAGGCUGAAAUUCAGGAAGCAAAAGCUCCCAGUCCUUCCAUAAACCGGCAAACCAGCAUUGAAAUGGAUAGAGUGUCUAAGGAGUUCAUAGAAUUUCUCAAGACCUUCUGCAAGACAGGCCAAGAAAUCUAUAAACUGACCAAGCUGUUUUUGGAAGGGAUGCAUUACAAAAGGUGCCUCCAGAAUGAGUUGAGAAGAUAAAUGGAUCAGAUUGAAAAGUACAUCAUGACUCAUCUCUAUAAAUAUGUGUUCUGUCCAGAAACUACUGAUGAUGAGAUGAAAGAUCUUGCCAUUCAAAAGAGGAUCAGAGUGGAAGCUGCUCUGUGGUGUCAGAAAGACAAGGAAUGUGGUGACCUCACCUAUCCAUCUCCCUCAAGGCAGCUUUUGAGCCCUUCACUGGGUUACACCUCAGAUGCUGUGUGUCCCUGUUAAUGAAGACAUCCCAGAAGUGUCUGAUACGGUGUUGAAGGCAAUCACAGGGAUUGUGCUGCAUUCUGACUUAGAUUCUGCCAUCAAAAACAGAAUGCCCUGAUCCUUAGAGGCAGAGGCAGCUCUUCAGCCUAUGGGCUUAAGCUCUUGGACUCACUGAGGCAGUAAAAGAACCAUAUCCUGUGUUUGAAUCAAACCCCGAGUUCCUGUAUGUUUAGAAGGUUUGCCAGACAGGAUUCCCUUUUGAAGCCCUCCUGGUUUGGAAUUCCAUGACUUAAAAGGAUCGUCCGUGGGAGUAAUAACAUCAAGUCUGUUGGUAAAAACUUCGCAGUUUCUAAAAAGACCACGAAGCCCUGAGAGUAAUGAAAAGGUUCCUGAAAUUGAGGUCACUGUGGAAGAAGGAAACGUGUCAUGUACCAGCUAUCCAUCCAAUGACUGCCCAUCAGUUCCAUAUUCACCCUUCACUGCCUGAUCUGCAAACAUAGAGGAAGUGACCUCAUAAUGACUCAAGCUACCACUUACUGUUGAUUGUGAUGAAAUGCCAGUGGAGGCACAUGCCUUGGGAGCUAAGUGGCUGCUGCACUUGACCACUAUGAAGACUGGUGUGGGAAGAAUCCUUUUGGAUGCACUUCAGCAGGGACCCCUGAUCCCUGGGUCACAGGCCUGUACUGGGCCACACAACAGGAGGAGAAUCUAAUGCCUGAUGAACUGUCAUUGUCUCCCAUCACCCCCAGAUGGGACCAUCUAGUUGCAGGAAAAGAAGGUCAAGACUCCCACUCAUUCUACAUUAUGUCUUCCUGUGUUGCCCAGGCUGGAGCACAGUGGUUUGAUCUUGGCUCACUGCAGUCUCAACCUCUCAGGCUCAAGCUAUCCUUCUGCCUCAGACUCUGGGGUAGCUGGGACAACAGCCUCAGCCAAGAUGUCUCACCCUACUCUCUAUGAUGCAACAAGAAGCCCCUGGGGAAUGUUUCAGUCCCAGUCUGUACUAUUGUCAUGUGCUCAUCACAGUCUGCUGGAUCUACCAUGAAAGACUUCAGAGUCCAGGAAGAGAGACUGACUGGGCAACAUGUUAUUCAGUUACAAAAAGACUUGGACUAUGACUCAAAAAUGAUCAAAUAAUAGUUCAUGCAUCAAAUGCAAUAGGAAGUACUUCUGGAGGGUGAGAGAAGCAUCCAGUUAAGGUGACAUUGAAGCUGGGUCCUGAAAGAUGAGGAAGAAUUGUAUGAGAGUGGGCAGAGAAGGGGGAGGUGGAGGGAUGGGGAAUGGGCUGGGAUGGAGUGAGCUGCUCAAGUAGGGAGACCAGCACUGUAAAGACCUGGACGAUAAAGACGGCACAUUUUAUUCAGGGAAUGGUGAAUUAAGUGUGGCAGGAAUGCUUUGGAGAGAUAGUAAUUUGCUUGUAUGGAAUUUUGCCCAAGAGGCCUCAUUACAGUUUCUAAUCUUUUGAUGUUAUCAUCUAUCACUGUCCUUGCCAAAUAGUUUGGAAUAGGUAUAAUGAUCACAAUAACAUCAAGCAUAAUAUUUCAUUAAUUCUCACAAAAUCACAGGUAGGUGCCACAGUUAUCCCCAUUUUGUGAAUGAAGUGAUGAAGACUUAGGAAUAAUGAGUGAUUUGCCCAAGCUCACCUGGAUAUUAAGACUGAGUCAAAUGUGGGGUCUGGUCUGACUUUAAUGUUUGCUUUGUUCAUGAGCACCACGUAUUGCCUCUCCUAUGCAGUUAAGCAGGUAGACAGGUGAAAGAAAAGCCCAUGUUAGUCUCUACUCACACACUUCCGACUGAAUGUGUGUGUGGAAUUUCUACACCAAGUUCUCCAAUGCUCUGGAUAUUAACUGGGUAUCCUACAAUUUUAUUCUGACACUUCCUGGAGUUGGCGUAGACCCCACAGGUUACGGGCUCAGUCCCACAAGACCACCCUUGCUUCACAUUGCAAUGGCAAGUCCUAGGUUGUCACCUGCACUUUUGACCAACCUGUUACAAAUCAGGGGUUCCCAUGACCCCCUCUUGGGGUUUAAUCAUUUGCUAGAGCAGCUUACAGAACUCAGAAAAACAGUUUGUUUCCUUUUUUUCUGAGAGACAGGUGGCUCACGCUGUAAUCCCAACACUUUGGGAGGCCGAGGUAGGAGGAUUGCUUAAACUUAGGAGUUUGAGACCAGCCUGGGCAACACGGUGAAACCCUGUCUCUGUAAAAAAUUUUUAAAAAGCUGGGCACGGUGGCUCAAGCCUGUAAUCCCAGCACUCUGGGAGGCCAAGGUGGGUGAAUCACGAGGUCAGGAGUUGAAGACCAGUCUG